CACACAUAUAUUUAGGCUUAGAGUCUUAGCAUUUUCAGAUCAGAAUUAAUCCAGCUGUUUCUCCCACCAAAGCCAAUAUAAUUAAAAAUGUUAAGUUCCAGUGACCAGAAACUUGCUCACAUAGCUCUCCUCCCAAGUGCAGGCAUGGGUCAUCUCACACCCUUCUUUAGGCUUGCUGCUUUACUCGCAGGCAAUAAUAUCAAAGUAACAUUCAUCACUCCUAGUCCAACAGUCUCCUUGGCUGAGUCACAGACCUUAUUUCGCUUCUUCGCUUCCUUUCCGGAAAUCAAUCAAAAGCAGUUUCAUCUCCUUCCUCUUGACAAGCAUCCCUCCAACUCAGAAGACCCUUUCUAUUACCAUAUGGAACGAAUUUGUCAAUCCUCUCACCUUCUUUCUUCCCUGCUUUCUUCACUAUCUCCACCUCUCUCUGCUCUUAUCACAGACAUGAGCUUGGCCUCUCCUGCUAUUUCAAUCCUCUCACCUUCUUUCUUCCCUGCUUUCUUCACUAUCUCCACCUCUCUCUGCUCUUAUCACAGACAUGAGCUUGGCCUCUCCUGCUAUUUCAAUCACUCAAGCUCUUAAUCUUCCUAAUUAUGUUUUCUUCACAUCAUCUGCUAAAAUGUCAACACUCUUUAUGUCCUUCCAUGCCUUGAUCGAUUCAGAAGCCACAACUGAUUUAGAUGAGAUUGAAGCCAUCAAAAUUCCUGGACUAGAAGCGAUACCCAGAUCAUGGAUUCCCCCGCCACUUUUACAGAACACGAAUAAUCUCCUUAAAACCUAUUUCUUGGAGAAUGGCAAGAAAAUGGCAGAAUCAAGUGGGAUUCUUGUCAAUACAUUUGAGAGUAUUGAGCACGAACCACUCAGAAAGCUAAAUGAAGGAAAAGUAAUAGAAGGGUUGCCACCAGUUAUUGCCAUUGGACCACUUGCACCUUGUGAAUUUGAAAAGAUCCAACCAUUACCAUGGCUUGAUGAACAACCGGCGGGGUCUGUGGUGUAUGUCAGCUUUGGUAGUAGGACUGCUAUGUCAAGAGAGCAACUCAAAGAGUUGGGUGAAGGGCUGGCAAUUAGUGGUCAUAGGUUUCUGUGGAUGGUAAAGGAUAAGAAAGUUGAUCGAGAGGAUGAAGAAGACUUAGGUCAGGUAAUUGGAAGUGGGUUAAUGGAGAAGUUGAAGGAAAAAGGGUUGGUGGUGAAGUACUGGCUAAACCAAGAGGCGAUACUAAGCCACCCAGCAGUUGGUGGAUUUUUGAGUCAUUGUGGUUGGAAUUCAAUAACAGAGGCUAUAUGGAAUGGAGUGCGCAUAUUAGCAUGGCCCCAACAUGGAGACCAGAAAAUCAAUGCUGAUAUUGCGGAGAAAAUUGGAUUAGGGACUUGGGAGAAGAGUUGGGGAUGGGGUGAAGAGACGGCAGUGAACGGAACAGAUAUUGCAGAAAAAAUUAAGGAGAUGAUGGGUAAUGAAUUGUUGAGACAUCAAGCAAUGCACAUCAGAGAAGAGGCUAGGACAGCUGUGGAAAUUGGAGGCAGCUCAAGGAUGGGGCCGAUGGAACUCAUCGAGACAUGGAAGAAGACCUGAAUUCGCAACUUCGUGUUUUCCACUUUAUUUUUUUUCAAACAUAGUAUUUUCUGUUUUUUUACCUUCAUAAAACGGAGCGUUUAUGGAUUAUUUUGAUUUUCUUUUCAAGUAAUUGCAGAAGUGGCCCUUUUUCUUCUUAAAUAAAAUGCCACGACAUCGUAUUUAUUUGAUCGGAUUUUUUUUUUUCGAAAU
This 1762-nucleotide unclassified non-coding RNA is filed under the name Hevea brasiliensis (rubber tree). Lineage: Eukaryota; Viridiplantae; Streptophyta; Magnoliopsida; Malpighiales; Euphorbiaceae. The record is from RNAcentral.